GACGUAGGGGGCGAGCGUUGUCCGGAUUUAUUGGGCGUAAAGAGCGCGUAGGCGGCCCGUUAAGUCGGAUGUGAAAACCCGUGGCUCAACCACGGGCCUGCAUCCGAUACUGGCGGGCUCGAGGCAGGCAGGGGAGAUCGGAAUUCCUGGUGUAGCGGUGAAAUGACGCAGAUAUCAGGAGGAACACCGGUGGCGAAGGCGGAUCUCUGGGCCUGUCCUGACGCUCAGGCGCGAAAGCUAGGGGAGCAAACAGG
This 254-nucleotide ribosomal RNA is filed under the name uncultured bacterium. RNAcentral's name for it is "partial 16S ribosomal RNA". It matches the Rfam family "Bacterial small subunit ribosomal RNA", at positions 524 to 776 of the family's 1533-position model. The record is from RNAcentral.